Molecule: transfer RNA, 66 nt
Filed under: Octopus mimus
Lineage: Eukaryota; Metazoa; Mollusca; Cephalopoda; Octopoda; Octopodidae
Description: tRNA-Trp
Source: RNAcentral
AGAGUUUUAAGUUAAGUAAACUAUAAGUUUUCAAGACUUAUAAUAAAUAAUGUUGUUUAAAUUCUG